GUGCUGUGAGCUCGAUGAGUAGGGCGGGACACGUGGUAUCCUGUCUGAAUAUGGGGGGACCAUCCUCCAAGGCUAAAUACUCCUGACUGACCGAUAGUGAACCAGUACCGUGAGGGAAAGGCGAAAAGAACCCCGGCGAGGGGAGUGAAAAAGAACCUGAAACCGUGUACGUACAAGCAGUGGGAGCCCCACCACUAAGCCAGUGGUGAACUCCACAUACGCAUCCUUUGCUGAGGAUACGGUUAACGGAGCGAAAGCGACGUUCAACCUCAAAAGAAGCAGAGGGGGCUUAGUGGUGGGGUGACUGCGUACCUUUUGUAUAAUGGGUCAGCGACUUAUAUUCUGUAGCAAGGUUAACCGUAUAGGGGAGCCGCAGGGAAACCGAGUCUUAACCGGGCGUUAAGUUGCAGGGUAUAGACCCGAAACCCGGUGAUCUAGCCAUGGGCAGGUUGAAGGUUGGGUAACACUAACUGGAGGACCGAACCGACUAAUGUUGAAAAAUUAGCGGAUGACCUGUGGCUGGGGGUGAAAGGCCAAUCAAACCGGGAGAUAGCUGGUUCUCCCCGAAAGCUAUUUAGGUAGCGCCUCGUGAACUCAUCUCCGGGGGUAGAGCACUGUUUCGGCUAGGGGGCCAUCCCGGCUUACCAACCCGAUGCAAACUGCGAAUACCGGAGAAUGUUAUCACGGGAGACACACGGCGGGUGCUAACGUCCGUCGUGAAGAGGGAAACAACCCAGACCGCCAGCUAAGGUCCCAAAGUCAUGGUUAAGUGGGAAACGAUGUGGGAAGGCCCAGACAGCCAGGAUGUUGGCUUAGAAGCAGCCAUCAUUUAAAGAAAGCGUAAUAGCUCACUGGUCGAGUCGGCCUGCGCGGAAGAUGUAACGGGGCUAAACCAUGCACCGAAGCUGCGGCAGCGACACUCAGGUGUUGUUGGGUAGGGGAGCGUUCUGUAAGCCUGUGAAGGUGGCCUGUGAGGGUUGCUGGAGGUAUCAGAAGUGCGAAUGCUGACAUAAGUAACGAUAAAGCGGGUGAAAAGCCCGCUCGCCGGAAGACCAAGGGUUCCUGUCCAACGUUAAUCGGGGCAGGGUGAGUCGACCCCUAAGGCGAGGCCGAAAGGCGUAGUCGAUGGGAAACGGGUUAAUAUUCCCGUACUUGGUGUUACUGCGAAGGGGGGACGGAGAAGGCUAUGUUGGCCGGGCGACGGUUGUCCCGGUUUAAGCGUGUAGGCUGGUUUUCCAGGCAAAUCCGGAAAAUCAAGGCUGAGGCGUGAUGACGAGGCACUACGGUGCUGAAGCAACAAAUGCCCUGCUUCCAGGAAAAGCCUCUAAGCAUCAGGUAACAUCAAAUCGUACCCCAAACCGACACAGGUGGUCAGGUAGAGAAUACCAAGGCGCUUGAGAGAACUCGGGUGAAGGAACUAGGCAAAAUGGUGCCGUAACUUCGGGAGAAGGCACGCUGACAUGUAGGUGAAGUGAUUUACUCAUGGAGCUGAAGUCAGUCGAAGAUACCAGCUGGCUGCAACUGUUUAUUAAAAACACAGCACUGUGCAAACACGAAAGUGGACGUAUACGGUGUGACGCCUGCCCGGUGCCGGAAGGUUAAUUGAUGGGGUCAGCGCAAGCGAAGCUCCUGAUCGAAGCCCCGGUAAACGGCGGCCGUAACUAUAACGGUCCUAAGGUAGCGAAAUUCCUUGUCGGGUAAGUUCCGACCUGCACGAAUGGCGUAAUGAUGGCCAGGCUGUCUCCACCCGAGACUCAGUGAAAUUGAACUCGCUGUGAAGAUGCAGUGUACCCGCGGCAAGACGGAAAGACCCCGUGAACCUUUACUAUAGCUUGACACUGAACAUUGAGCCUUGAUGUGUAGGAUAGGUGGGAGGCUUUGAAGUGUGGACGCCAGUCUGCAUGGAGCCGACCUUGAAAUACCACCCUUUAAUGUUU
RNAcentral lists this ribosomal RNA (1937 nucleotides) under Salmonella enterica subsp. enterica serovar Poona. RNAcentral's name for it is "partial 23S ribosomal RNA". It matches the Rfam family "Bacterial large subunit ribosomal RNA", at positions 394 to 2215 of the family's 2925-position model. The record is from RNAcentral. Lineage: Bacteria; Pseudomonadati; Pseudomonadota; Gammaproteobacteria; Enterobacterales; Enterobacteriaceae.